This 1322-nucleotide ribosomal RNA is filed under the name uncultured bacterium. RNAcentral's name for it is "partial 16S ribosomal RNA". It matches the Rfam family "Bacterial small subunit ribosomal RNA", at positions 28 to 1381 of the family's 1533-position model. The record is from RNAcentral.
GAUGAACGCUGGCGGCGUGCCUAACACAUGCAAGUCGAGCGAACCCUUCGGGGUGAGCGGCGGACGGGUGAGUAACGCGUGGGUAACCUGCCCUGUACACACGGAUAACAUACCGAAAGGUAUGCUAAUACGGGAUAACAUAUGAGAGUCGCAUGGCUUUUGUAUCAAAGCUCCGGCGGUACAGGAUGGACCCGCGUCUGAUUAGCUAGUUGGUAAGGUAACGGCUUACCAAGGCAACGAUCAGUAGCCGACCUGAGAGGGUGAUCGGCCACAUUGGAACUGAGACACGGUCCAAACUCCUACGGGAGGCAGCAGUGGGGAAUAUUGCACAAUGGGCGAAAGCCUGAUGCAGCAACGCCGCGUGAGCGAUGAAGGCCUUCGGGUCGUAAAGCUCUGUCCUCAAGGAAGAUAAUGACGGUACUUGAGGAGGAAGCCCCGGCUAACUACGUGCCAGCAGCCGCGGUAAUACGUAGGGGGCUAGCGUUAUCCGGAAUUACUGGGCGUAAAGGGUGCGUAGGCGGUCUUUCAAGCCAGAAGUGAAAGGCUACGGCUCAACCGUAGUAAGCUUUUGGAACUGUAGGACUUGAGUGCAGGAGAGGAGAGUGGAAUUCCUAGUGUAGCGGUGAAAUGCGUAGAUAUUAGGAGGAACACCAGUAGCGAAGGCGGCUCUCUGGACUGUAACUGACGCUGAGGCACGAAAGCGUGGGGAGCAACCAGGAUUAGAUACCCUGGUAGUCCACGCCGUAAACGAUGAGUACUAGGUGUCGGGGGUUACCCCCCUCGGUGCCGCAGCUAACACAUUAAGUACUCCGCCUGGGAAGUACGCUUGCAAGAGUGAAACUCAAAGGAAUUGACGGGGACCCGCACAAGUAGCGGAGCAUGUGGUUUAAUUCGAAGCAACGCGAAGAACCUUACCUAAGCUUGACAUCCCAUUGACCUCUCCCUAAUCGGAGAUUUCCCUUCGGGGACAAUGGUGACAGGUGGUGCAUGGUUGUCGUCAGCUCGUGUCGUGAGAUGUUGGGUUAAGUCCCGCAACGAGCGCAACCCUUGCCUUUAGUUGCCAGCAUUAAGUUGGGCACUCUAGAGGGACUGCCGAGGAUAACUCGGAGGAAGGUGGGGAUGACGUCAAAUCAUCAUGCCCCUUAUGCUUAGGGCUACACACGUGCUACAAUGGGUGGUACAGAGGGUUGCCAAGCCGUGAGGUGGAGCUAAUCCCUUAAAGCCAUUCUCAGUUCGGAUUGUAGGCUGAAACUCGCCUACAUGAAGCUGGAGUUACUAGUAAUCGCAGAUCAGAAUGCUGCGGUGAAUGCGUUCCCGGGUCU